This 48-nucleotide antisense RNA is filed under the name Aminobacter aminovorans. Its description in RNAcentral is "ctRNA". It matches the Rfam family "ctRNA". From Rfam's summary of the family: This family represents a group of ctRNAs (or counter-transcribed RNAs) from p42d and related plasmids. ctRNAs are small, highly structured, antisense sequences which are involved in negative regulation. Members of this family are known to bind to the mRNA of repC causing translational repression. The record is from RNAcentral. Lineage: Bacteria; Pseudomonadati; Pseudomonadota; Alphaproteobacteria; Hyphomicrobiales; Phyllobacteriaceae.
AGAAGGGCUUCCACGACGGCAACGUUUUUGGGGGCCUUUUUCUUUUGC